AGAGUUUGAUCAUGGCUCAGAUUGAACGCUGGCGGCAUGCCUUACACAUGCAAGUCGAACGGCAGCACGGGGGCAACCCUGGUGGCGAGUGGCGAACGGGUGAGUAAUACAUCGGAACGUGUCCUGGAGUGGGGGAUAGCCCGGCGAAAGCCGGAUUAAUACCGCAUACGAUCUAGGGAUGAAAGCGGGGGACCGAAAGGCCUCGCGCUCAAGGGGCGGCCGAUGGCAGAUUAGCUAGUUGGUGGGGUAAAGGCCUACCAAGGCGACGAUCUGUAGCUGGUCUGAGAGGACGACCAGCCACACUGGGACUGAGACACGGCCCAGACUCCUACGGGAGGCAGCAGUGGGGAAUUUUGGACAAUGGGGGCAACCCUGAUCCAGCAAUGCCGCGUGUGUGAAGAAGGCCUUCGGGUUGUAAAGCACUUUUGUCCGGAAAGAAAACCGCUUCUCUAAUACAGAGGUGGGAUGACGGUACCGGAAGAAUAAGCACCGGCUAACUACGUGCCAGCAGCCGCGGUAAUACGUAGGGUGCGAGCGUUAAUCGGAAUUACUGGGCGUAAAGCGUGCGCAGGCGGUUCGCUAAGACCGAUGUGAAAUCCCCGGGCUUAACCUGGGAACUGCAUUGGUGACUGGCGGCUAGAGUAUGGCAGAGGGGGGUAGAAUUCCACGUAGCAGUGAAAUGCGUAGAGAUGUGGAGGAAUACCGAUGGCGAAGGCAGCCCCCUGGGCCAAUACUGACGCUCAUGCACGAAAGCGUGGGGAGCAAACAGGAUUAGAUACCCUAGUAGUCC
This 790-nucleotide ribosomal RNA is filed under the name uncultured bacterium. RNAcentral describes it as "bacterial SSU rRNA". It matches the Rfam family "Bacterial small subunit ribosomal RNA", at positions 8 to 796 of the family's 1533-position model. The record is from RNAcentral.